Molecule: ribosomal RNA, 483 nt
Filed under: uncultured bacterium
Lineage: Bacteria
Description: partial 16S ribosomal RNA
Rfam family: Bacterial small subunit ribosomal RNA
Source: RNAcentral
AUUGAACGCUGGCGGCAGGCCUAACACAUGCAAGUCGAGCGGAUGAAGGGAGCUUGCUCCUGGAUUCAGCGGCGGACGGGUGAGUAAUGCCUAGGAAUCUGCCUGGGAGUGGGGGAUAACGUCCGGAAACGGGCGCUAAUACCGCAUACGUCCUGAGGGAGAAAGUGGGGGAUCUUCGGACCUCACGCUAUCAGAUGAGCCUAGGUCGAUUAGCUAGUUGGUGGGGUAAAGGCCUACCAAGGCGACGAUCCGUAACUGGUCUGAGAGGAUGAUCAGUCACACUGGAACUGAGACACGGUCCAGACUCCUACGGGAGGCAGCAGUGGGGAAUAUUGGACAAUGGGCGAAAGCCUGAUCCAGCCAUGCCGCGUGUGUGAAGAAGGUCUUCGGAUUGUAAAGCACUUUAAGUUGGGAGGAAGGGCAGUAAGUUAAUACCUUGCUGUUUUGACGUUACCAACAGAAUAAGCACCGGCUAACUUCGUG